This 333-nucleotide long non-coding RNA is filed under the name Capsicum annuum. RNAcentral describes it as "long non-coding RNA (CANN_LNC012643)". The record is from RNAcentral. Lineage: Eukaryota; Viridiplantae; Streptophyta; Magnoliopsida; Solanales; Solanaceae.
CCCGUGGGUGGUUUAGGACGAUAAAUCUACACAGCCCGAUUAAAGGUUUUAAAGGCAUACUAAACCCAGUCCCCUUUCCCCGACAUGGUUAUAUAUAUAUAUAUAUGGUUAUGUGCAUAUGCAUGGUUUUACUUGGUUUUAUAAAUGGCAUUAUUUUUUCCUUAUCUUGAGAUCAUGCUAGCAUUCACCUGCUAACCCAUCUACUAGCGGUUGUAUACCUACUUUAUGCAGGAACCAGCCGUUCUACUCCUCCUACACAAUGGUUGACAUGGGGAUUAGCAUUUGGACUGAAGUGGUGAGCUUCCAUCCUUUCGAAAGGCUCCAUUUUAUGUU